UACGUAGGGUGCAAGCGUUGUCCGGAAUUAUUGGGCGUAAAGAGCUCGUAGGCGGUCUGUCGCGUCGAUCGUGAAAACUUGGGGCUUAACCCUGAGCUUGCGGUCGAUACGGGCAUGACUGGAGUUCGGCAGGGGAGACUGGAAUUCCUGGUGUAGCGGUGAAAUGCGCAGAUAUCAGGAGGAACACCGGUGGCGAAGGCGGGUCUCUGGGCCGAUACUGACGCUGAGGAGCGAAAGCAUGGGGAGCGAACAGG
RNAcentral lists this ribosomal RNA (254 nucleotides) under uncultured bacterium. RNAcentral describes it as "partial 16S ribosomal RNA". It matches the Rfam family "Bacterial small subunit ribosomal RNA", at positions 524 to 776 of the family's 1533-position model. The record is from RNAcentral.